Dreissena polymorpha is the source of this 887-nucleotide long non-coding RNA. RefSeq lists it as uncharacterized. The record is from RefSeq and is a predicted model, not a curated record. The transcript is spliced from 3 exons. Lineage: Eukaryota; Metazoa; Mollusca; Bivalvia; Myida; Dreissenidae.
AUAAGAUAGUUUCAACGCAGAUUGUUUCACUGUCUGGUGUUGGAAUCGCAGAAUGGGCGAUUGCUUCUGUCCUGGCCUUAGUCGUCGUGCUUGGACUUGUAGUGUUUUGCCGAAGACGGGUUAAAACGGCACAAGAAGUAAAUAAGAAACCGGAAUGGACAGACGACAGGUAUUACAAUGUGAAAUCCAUGAAAGAUGCUGUUUCUGUCAGCAUACGUCCGGACUCCACGCCAAACUACAGUUGCCUUGAUGAUACGGACAUCUCUCACACGUAUUCUGCCUUGGACAAAAACGCGGCUUAGUCAGUUCAACCGGAGCUUCAUUGUUGAAUGUGAAAUUUCAUGGGUUUUUUUACAGCGCAAAAAAUGAAUAUUUGAAUCAAUAUGGACCACUUGUGUUGUUCUGGCUCAGUAUGUAUUAUAUUGGAAUAACGCAACUGCAAAAACAUCAUCAGGUUGAAAUUAUUACAACCAUAUUCGCUUGUCAUUCACGACGCUACUUUAAAAUGUACCAAGCGCGCAGAACACGAUUUUUACUUUGUUUAAGUGAAAUGUUAACAUAUUGACAACAUGUUAUACGGCAAAAUCUAUUAUAUUCUCAACUGUAUUCAUCACACAAGAACUGACUAUAAAACAUACCAAAGCCUCUAUUACGAGUUUAUAUAAACAAAUAAUACAAAAAUUACAAUAUGAGAGUCAGGAACUGCCUGAUAAGCUAUUAAGUAAUGUUGUAUUUUAGAUGGAAAAAGACAUGUGGUAGUUUUUUAGUAUUUCGUUUAAAUUCAAUAAAAUUGUAGAAACUUUAUUCAACAACUUACAAAUUUAUAUAUUAUUGUUAAAGCAGGAGGUCCAUUUCUUGUUAAAAACUUGGAUAAAACCUCUCAUUGA